UGAUCAGGUCAGGAAGCCAGAUGGAU
RNAcentral lists this non-coding RNA (26 nucleotides) under Homo sapiens (human). Lineage: Eukaryota; Metazoa; Chordata; Mammalia; Primates; Hominidae. The record is from RNAcentral.